GCCCUGGUGGCACAGUGGUUAAAUGCCUGUACUGCAGCAACUCACUCAUACAAACCACAAGGUUGCGAGUUCAAUACUAGCCAGGGCU
Molecule: transfer RNA, 88 nt
Filed under: Phrynosoma platyrhinos (Desert horned lizard)
Lineage: Eukaryota; Metazoa; Chordata; Lepidosauria; Squamata; Phrynosomatidae
Description: tRNA-OTHER
Source: RNAcentral